UCUGAAUCUGCGAACGGCUCCGCAAACCAGUUGUAAACUACAGCAAGCAAGCACGGGGGGUUGGCCUUCACGGGUCGGUCCCUCGGGCGAUAUGGAUAACCCUGGUAAUUCUGAGGCUAAUACAAGAACGUAACCCCUGGUUAACUGAGCCCUCGCCCUCGGGUGGGGAUACUUGGGAGGCUGGGAAGCGUGCGAGUACUAAUGCGAAUGAGAACCGGGAAUGGGCGCACGCUUGGACCGCGCUACAAAGGAUCAUUACUCGGCAAUCCCUCCGGGGUGCGCUUUGUUUUGGCCCUAGCGGCUCUUGCGGUGUGCUUCUGACCUAUCAACUAGACGGCAGCGUAACGGACAUGCUAUGGU
Molecule: ribosomal RNA, 360 nt
Filed under: Lamproderma echinosporum
Lineage: Eukaryota; Evosea; Eumycetozoa; Stemonitida; Stemonitidae
Description: SSU rRNA
Rfam family: Eukaryotic small subunit ribosomal RNA
Source: RNAcentral